UACGUAGGGGGCAAGCGUUGUCCGGAAUCAUUGGGCGUAAAGCGCGUGUAGGCGGCUCGAUAAGUCUGCUGUGAAAGUCCAGGGCUCAACCCUGGGAUGCCGGUGGAUACUGUCGAGCUUGAGUCCGGAAGAGGCGAGUGGAAUUCCUGGUGUAGCGGUGAAAUGCGCAGAUAUCAGGAGGAACACCUAUGGCGAAGGCAGCUCGCUGGGACGUGACUGACGCUGAGACGCGAAAGCGUGGGGAGCAAACAGG
This 253-nucleotide ribosomal RNA is filed under the name uncultured bacterium. RNAcentral's name for it is "partial 16S ribosomal RNA". It matches the Rfam family "Bacterial small subunit ribosomal RNA", at positions 524 to 776 of the family's 1533-position model. The record is from RNAcentral.